CCUUAACCUGCUAAAUAGUUAAGCCACCCCAUCUGGGGUGCGCUGUCAACUUCUUAGAGGGACUAUCAGUGUUUAACUGAUGGAAGUUUGAGGCAAUAACAGGUCUGUGAUGCCCUUAGAUGUUCUGGGCCGCACGCGCGCUACACUGACGAAGGCAGCGAGUUUAUUAACCUUGGCCGGAAGGUCUGGGUAAUCUUGUAAAACUUCGUCGUGAUGGGGAUAGAGCAUUGCAAUUAUUGCUCUUCAACGAGGAAUUCCUAGUAAGCGCAAGUCAUCAGCUUGCGUUGAUUACGUCCCUGCCCUUUGUACACACCGCCCGUCGCUACUACCGAUUGAACAUUUUAGUGAGGUCUCUGGACUGGGGUUUCCGAGGCUGGCAACAGUUUUAGAUUCUCUGGGAAAUUGCCCAAACUUGGAUGUUUAGAGGAAGUAAAAGUCG
This 439-nucleotide ribosomal RNA is filed under the name Fonticulida sp. Its description in RNAcentral is "SSU rRNA". It matches the Rfam family "Eukaryotic small subunit ribosomal RNA", at positions 1341 to 1791 of the family's 1831-position model. Lineage: Eukaryota; Rotosphaerida. The record is from RNAcentral.